GGUUAAGUGACUAAGCGUAUACGGUGGAUGCCUUGGCAGUCAGAGGCGAUGAAGGACGUAGUAACUUGCGAAAAGCGUUGGCGAGCUAGUAACAAGCAUUUGAGCUAACGAUGUCCGAAUGGGGAAACCCACUCACAUAAGUGAGUAUCAUAUACUGAAUACAUAGGUAUAUGAGGCAAACCCGGGGAACUGAAACAUCUAAGUACCCGGAGGAACAGAAAUCAACCGAGAUUCCCCUAGUAGCGGCGAGCGAACGGGGAUUAGCCCUUAAGUCUAUGGGGUGUUAGUGGAAUGAGUUGGAAAGCUCAGCGGCACAGGGUGAUAGCCCCGUACAUGAAAACUAACCAUAGAUGAAAACGAGUAGGACGGGACACGUGACAUCUUGUCUGAACAUGGGGGGACCAUCCUCCAAGGCUAAAUACUCCUGACUGACCGAUAGUGAACCAGUACCGUGAGGGAAAGGCGAAAAGAACCCCUGUGAGGGGAGUGAAAUAGAACCUGAAACCGUAUACGUACAAGCAGUGGGAGCGGUUCCAUUCUUCGGAAUAAGAGACCGUGACUGCGUACCUUUUGUAUAAUGGGUCAGCGACUUACAUUUUGUAGCGAGGUUAAGCGAAUAGCGGAGCCGUAGGGAAACCGAGUGUUAACUGCGCGUAUCUUUAAUUAGAGAAGUUGCAAGGUGUAGACCCGAAACCCGGUGAUCUAUCCAUGGGCAGGUUGAAGGUUGAGUAACAUCAACUGGAGGACCGAACCGACUUAUGUUGAAAAAUGAGCGGAUGACUUGUGGAUGGGGGUGAAAGGCCAAUCAAACCGGGAGAUAUCUGGUUCUCCUCGAAAGCUAUUUAGGUAGCGCCUCGAGCGAAUACCAUUGGGGGUAGAGCACUGUUAAGGCUAGGGGGUCAUCCCGACUUACCAACCCUUUGCAAACUCCGAAUACCAAUGAGUACUACUCGGGAGACACACGGCGGGUGCUAACGUCCGUCGUGGAAAGGGAAACAACCCAGACCAUCAGCUAAGGUCCCAAAGUUAUUGCUAAGUGGGAAACGAUGUGGGAAGGCUUAGACAGCUAGGAUGUUGGCUUAGAAGCAGCCAUCAUUUAAAGAAAGCGUAAUAGCUCACUAGUCGAGUCGGCCUGCGCGGAAGAUUUAACGGGGCUAAGCAAUACACCGAAGCUAUGGGUUUGCUAGUUUACUGGCAAGCGGUAGAGGAGCGUUCUGUAAGCCGUUGAAGGCGAAGGGGUAACCCACGCUGGAGGUAUCAGAAGUGCGAAUGCUGACAUGAGUAACGAUAAAGGGAGUGAAAAACUCCCUCGCCGAAAGACCAAGGUUUCCUGUCCAAUGUUAAUCAGGGCAGGGUAAGUCGACCCCUAAGGUGAGGCCGAAAGGCGUAAUCGAUGGGAAACAGGUUAAUAUUCCUGUACUUCUGCUAACUGCGAUGGAGAGACGGAGAAGGCUAGGCUAGCGCGGCGUUGGUUGUCCGCGUUUAAGGUUGUAGGUUGUAUUCUUAGGCAAAUCCGGGGAUACGCAUUAAAUUGCAAGACUGAGGACUGAUGACGAGACCCUAAGGGGUUGAAGUAGUUGAUGCCAUGCUUCCAGGAAAAUCUUCUAAGCUUCAGGUUAGUAGGAAUCGUACCCCAAACCGACACAGGUGGUUGGGUAGAGAAUACCAAGGCGCUUGAGAGAACUCGGCUGAAGGAACUAGGCAAAAUGGUACCGUAACUUCGGGAGAAGGUACGCUCCUAGCGGUGAUGAGACUUGCUCUCUAAGCUGCCGGGAGUCGCAGAUA
Shewanella benthica KT99 is the source of this 1785-nucleotide non-coding RNA. Lineage: Bacteria; Pseudomonadati; Pseudomonadota; Gammaproteobacteria; Alteromonadales; Shewanellaceae. The record is from Rfam.